CCUUAUCAAGAGCGGCGGAGGAAACGGGUCCUGUGAAGCCGCGGCAACCGGCGUGCAAGCAAUGGUGCCAAUUCCCGCAUCGCGGAAAUAUCUGCGGUGAAAGAUGAGG
RNAcentral lists this non-coding RNA (109 nucleotides) under uncultured Ruminiclostridium sp. RNAcentral describes it as "SAM riboswitch (S box leader)". It matches the Rfam family "SAM riboswitch aptamer (S box leader)". Rfam says of the family: The SAM riboswitch is found upstream of a number of genes which code for proteins involved in methionine or cysteine biosynthesis in Gram-positive bacteria. The SAM riboswitch acts at the level of transcription termination control. Lineage: Bacteria; Bacillati; Bacillota; Clostridia; Eubacteriales; Oscillospiraceae. The record is from RNAcentral.